Molecule: unclassified non-coding RNA, 336 nt
Filed under: soil metagenome
Description: partial contains 5.8S ribosomal RNA, internal transcribed spacer 2, and large subunit ribosomal RNA
Rfam family: 5.8S ribosomal RNA (bases 1-120)
Source: RNAcentral
GAUGAAGAACGUAGCGAAAUGCGAUAAGUAAUGUGAAUUGCAGAAUUCAGUGAAUCAUCGAAUCUUUGAACGCACAUUGUGCCCGCCAGUAUUCUGGCGGGCAUGCCUGUUCGAGCGUCAUUUCAACCAUCAAGCCCCAGGCUUGUGUUGGGGACCUGCGGCUGCCGCAGGCCCUGAAAACCAGUGGCGGGCUCGCUGUCACACCGGGCGUAGUAGAUUUUAUCUCGCUCAGGGCGUGCUGCGGGUCCCGGCCGUUAAAAGCCUUUUUUUACCCAAGGUUGACCUCGGAUCAGGUAGGAAGACCCGCUGAACUUAAGCAUAUCAAUAAGCGGAGGA